AUUUAAAUAGUUUAAAAAAAUAUUGAUUUGUGGAGUCAAAGUUAUGAAUUUGUUCAUUUUAGAUA
Molecule: transfer RNA, 65 nt
Filed under: Lordithon arcuatus
Lineage: Eukaryota; Metazoa; Arthropoda; Insecta; Coleoptera; Staphylinidae
Description: tRNA-His
Source: RNAcentral